GUUGCAAAAACCGUGACACUUGGACAUAUAGCUGUAAGUAACCUAAUUUGAGAAUUUUAUAGAAUGGACAAAUAAAAAAAUGUGAGUAGCGUUCAUUUCGAAUUUUUAAAAUAUUGGUAGAUUUCUACAGGGAAACGCCGGAUUGGACAAUUGAGUACAGUAGCAUAGUGGCAAUAACUGCGGCAUAGCAGCUCUAAAACUGUGCCGCUACCCAACACAUUGUUUUUCUCCCGGCCGUAUCACAAGGACAUUGAUACUUAGACAUAAGGUCGUAAAGAACCUAUAUGAUAGGUUUUAGAUAUUUUUAAGAAUGGACAAAUAUAAAAAGUGUGUAAAAAGCGUUAAUUUAG
Molecule: non-coding RNA, 350 nt
Organism: Cinara cedri
Lineage: Eukaryota; Metazoa; Arthropoda; Insecta; Hemiptera; Aphididae
Source: the annotation of a GenBank genome assembly